AACGAACGCUGGCGGCAUGCCUAACACAUGCAAGUCGAACGAGACCUUCGGGUCUUGUGGCGCACGGCUGCGUAACGCGUGGGAACCUGCCCUUAGGUUCGGAAUAACUCCCCGAAAGGGGUGCUAAUACCGGAUAAUGUCUUCGGACCAAAGAUUUAUCGCCUUUGGAUGGGCACGCGUUGGAUUCGCUAGUUGGUAGGGUAAAAGCCUACCAAGGCGAGGAUCCAUAGCUGGUCUGAGAGGAUGAUCAGCAACACUGGGACUGAGACACGGCCCAGACUCCUACGCGAGGGAGCAGUGGGGAAUAGAGGACAAUGGAGGAAGGCCUGAUACAGCAAUGCCGGGUGAGUGAUGAAGGCCUUAGGGUUGUAAUGCGCUUUUACCCGGGAUGAUAAUGACAGUACCGGGUGAAUAAGCACCGGCUAACUCCGUG
RNAcentral lists this ribosomal RNA (433 nucleotides) under uncultured bacterium. RNAcentral describes it as "partial 16S ribosomal RNA". It matches the Rfam family "Bacterial small subunit ribosomal RNA", at positions 29 to 507 of the family's 1533-position model. The record is from RNAcentral.